UACGUAGGGUGCGAGCGUUGUCCGGAAUUACUGGGCGUAAAGAGCUCGUAGGUGGUUUGUCGCGUUGUCCGUGAAAACUCACAACUCAAUUGUGGGCGUGCGGGCGAUACGGGCAGACUGGAGUACUGCAGGGGAGACUGGAAUUCCUGGUGUAGCGGUGAAAUGCGUAGAUAUCUGGAGGAACACCGGUGGCGAAGGCGGCAUCCUGGACCGGUAUUGACGCUGAGGCGCGAAAGCCAGGGGAGCAAACGGG
Molecule: ribosomal RNA, 253 nt
Filed under: uncultured bacterium
Lineage: Bacteria
Description: partial 16S ribosomal RNA
Rfam family: Bacterial small subunit ribosomal RNA
Source: RNAcentral